This is a long non-coding RNA of Xenia sp. Carnegie-2017, 426 nucleotides long. RefSeq lists it as uncharacterized. The record is from RefSeq and is a predicted model, not a curated record. Lineage: Eukaryota; Metazoa; Cnidaria; Anthozoa; Malacalcyonacea; Xeniidae. The transcript is spliced from 2 exons.
UUGGAUACUUCUUAUAACAAGAUAGGUGAUGAAGGUGCAAAAUCUCUUAGUGAAGCUUUGAAAAGUGAGAAUUGUGAGCUUACUAAAUUGUCUCUUUCUCAUAUCAAGAUAGGUGAUGGAGGUGCAAAAUCUCUUAGUGAAGCUUUGAAAGUGAAAUUGUAAGCUUACUGGAUUGGAUCUUUCUCACAACAAUAUAGGUGAUGAAGGUGCAAAAUCUUAUAGUGAAGCUUUGAAAAGUGAGAAUUGUAAGCUUACUAAACUGUCUCUUUCUCAUAACAAGAUAGGUGAUGAAGGUGCAAAAUCUCUUAGUGAAGCUUUGAAUAGUGAGAAUUGUAAUCUUAGUAAAUUGUCUCUUUCUCAUAACAAUAUAAGUGAUGGAGGUGCAAAAUAUCUUAGUGAAGCUUUGAAAAGUGAGAAUUGUAAACU